GGCAGUGUAGCAUAGUGGUUAAGGAGCAGGACUCAUAACCCAAAGGUUGCCAGUUCAAUUCCCUGCCAGGGCACUGCUG
Molecule: transfer RNA, 79 nt
Filed under: Megalops atlanticus (tarpon)
Lineage: Eukaryota; Metazoa; Chordata; Actinopteri; Elopiformes; Megalopidae
Description: tRNA-OTHER
Source: RNAcentral